GGCUCGGUGUGAUGUUGGUUUUACAGUCAGGCCCUCAACCUGACCGACGCGGGUUCGAUUCCCGUCCGAGUCA
This 73-nucleotide transfer RNA is filed under the name Candidatus Anammoximicrobium sp. RNAcentral's name for it is "tRNA-Glu". It matches the Rfam family "tRNA". From Rfam's summary of the family: Transfer RNA (tRNA) molecules are approximately 80 nucleotides in length. Their secondary structure includes four short double-helical elements and three loops (D, anti-codon, and T loops). The record is from RNAcentral. Lineage: Bacteria; Pseudomonadati; Planctomycetota; Planctomycetia; Pirellulales; Pirellulaceae.